RNAcentral lists this transfer RNA (71 nucleotides) under Marmota monax (woodchuck). Its description in RNAcentral is "tRNA.Ala". The record is from RNAcentral. Lineage: Eukaryota; Metazoa; Chordata; Mammalia; Rodentia; Sciuridae.
GGGGUUGUGGCUUAGUGGUACAGCGCUCGUCUAGCACGUGUGACGCACUGGGAUCGAUCCUCAGCACCACA